Molecule: ribosomal RNA, 467 nt
Filed under: uncultured bacterium
Lineage: Bacteria
Description: partial 16S ribosomal RNA
Rfam family: Bacterial small subunit ribosomal RNA
Source: RNAcentral
ACGAACGCUUGCGGCGUGCUUAACACAUGCCAGUCGGACCGAAAGGCCCUGCUUUUGUGGGGUGCUCGUGUGGCGAAUGGGUGAGUAACACCUUAGUAACCUGCUCUUUACUUUGGGAUAACUUCAGUAAACUGUGGCUACUACCGGCUAGGAGCUCCUGCUGCUUGGUUGGGGUUGGAAAGUUUCGGCGGUUGGGGAUGGUCUCGCGGCUUAUCAGCUUGUUGGUGGGGUAGUGGUUUACCAAGGCUUUGCCAGGUAGCCGGCCUGAGAGGGUGACCGGCCACAUUGGGACUGAGAUACGGCACAGACUCGUACGGGAGGCAGCGGUGGGGAAUAUUGCACAAUGGGCGGAAGCAUGAUGCAGCAACGCAGCGUGCGGGAUGACGGGAUUCGGGUUGUGAACCGAUGUCGCCUGUGACGAAGCGUGAGUGACGGUAAUGGGUAAAGAAGCACCGGCUAACUACGUG